AUUCGAGGCUCCAAAAGCACUUGUAUGUUUACAGUCUCUAGAUCUUUCUCUCUGCCGUUACCACUAGGAGCGCCAACCUCAUCUGCGGACCCCAGAGAUGGAUGAGAGGUGCGUGGAGCGGGCCUGGCUCACUCCGGAGUGGUCCAGGCUGUCCUAGAUCCAGCAGCCCCAGCAAUGAGAGCCAGCCCGGCCACAGCUACUGCAGCCCGGAGAGGCUUGUUUCAGAUUAAUGUCACUGCUUGUGGGAGACGCUGCCUUCCCUUCCAGACUCACAGAAGCACAGCUUUGAUAAUUAAUCCUGAUAACACCAACACAGAGACCGACAUACCUGACAUCGUACUCAAGUGACUCGCAGAAAGGAAAAACGUCUCACUUGAACAUGGUAAAAUACUAUGAAAAUGUAUAUUUUGCUAGCUUUCAUGGGAGAAAAUUUGUAUUUUCCCUGGCUGAUUUUCAUUUGGACUUAAGUGUUUGUUUUGAAGGCCAUACAGAAGUGAACCUGGGAGAGAUUAAAUUUUGCCCCCAGUGAAGUCACUAAAUUCAGUGGAUUUUAAUUACUUCUGUCCCCCUGGGCUUUCCCCACCCCACUUCAUUUCUCAGACGUUCC
This 607-nucleotide long non-coding RNA is filed under the name Bos grunniens (domestic yak). RNAcentral describes it as "lncRNA (ENSBGRG00000026705.1)". Lineage: Eukaryota; Metazoa; Chordata; Mammalia; Artiodactyla; Bovidae. The record is from RNAcentral.